RNAcentral lists this long non-coding RNA (615 nucleotides) under Homo sapiens (human). RNAcentral's name for it is "non-protein coding lnc-TAF7-9:1". Lineage: Eukaryota; Metazoa; Chordata; Mammalia; Primates; Hominidae. The record is from RNAcentral.
AGUGUGCGUUAUGGCGGCCAAUACCUCGGCUUGCACAAAGCUGCCUGUCAGCUUUCCUAAGACACCAGCACUGGGACGGACUACAUUUGCUUUUUCUCGAUUUCCAAUUAAUUAAUCUCGGAAACACAAACAGCAGCUGAUUUUUUUGUUGUUGUUGUUCGCUUGAAAUUACUAUUUAAGGCAAAGACACUGGAGUGAAACACGAGUGUGUUCUAGAAGUAAUGGUUUAGUUGUUAUCUUCAGUUGCUUAGCGACUAAUUAGACAAGAAGAGAACUUGUGGGUGGGGAUUAUUUGCGUUUUAGAACGGCAGAAACCAGGGGCAAAUGAAAAUGAGUUCAGGGGCUAGCGUUUAGAAUCAAUCUAAUUAAAUCUCAGUGCUGGGGAAGUAAGCAGCGCUAAAGAGGAACAGUAGGCAGUUAAGGUUCACAGGUGGGUUAAAUUAAGCCGAGUUUUUGUUGUAAUUUUUCCGUACCAUAUGGAUUGCUUUCUCAUUCCCCGUUGUUUUGGCGGCGACAAAUUCGGAUCUUUAACCAGCAGAGGGCGAGUCGACUGCAUUUUUCAGCCCUCAGACACUCCCUCUUCCUCCCUUCUCUGCCCCUGGGAAAUUAAUUUAC